Non-coding RNA from Mycena floridula, 92 nucleotides. Lineage: Eukaryota; Fungi; Basidiomycota; Agaricomycetes; Agaricales; Mycenaceae. The record is from the annotation of a GenBank genome assembly.
GGGGAUAUGGCCGAGUGGUCUAAGGCGCUAGAAUCAGGUUUUAGCCUUUAUCUAGUCAUUAUAUGGCGUGGGUUCGAAUCCCACUGUCCUCA